UUUGGUUUGAUUGAUUGACUUUUGAUGACAGUAUGUAGUUUUUUUGCCAUGCCGAAGGUUGUUUAGGACGAAGGGAUUGUCUUAUGGGAGGUUCAAAAGGAUUUGUUGGGGUGGAAGAAGGUGUCGUUGAUUCUGUUGAAGGGUUUAUUAUAAUAUUUGGUGCAUUAGUUGGUUCAACUGAGGGUGAGGUUUCAGAAUUUGUGGGUUGAUCUUGAGAAACUUCUGAUGCUUCAAUGGGUUUGGCUGGAGAUAAUAAUUGAGAAGAUGUGGGUUUAUGUACAUCAUGGUAUUGGAUUUGUUGAGGUGAAGUAUUAGGAGAAGAUGGUACAUACUGCUAAUUAUCCGUGCAUCUUGAAGAAAAUGUAUCAAACAUAGAAGGUUGAUUUGGUGAAGUUGAGAAAC
Molecule: long non-coding RNA, 402 nt
Filed under: Solanum tuberosum (potato)
Lineage: Eukaryota; Viridiplantae; Streptophyta; Magnoliopsida; Solanales; Solanaceae
Description: long non-coding RNA (STUB_LNC010073)
Source: RNAcentral